AAGUUUUCGGUUCGGCCGGACGAAAACCCAGGUGCUGCAUGGCUGUCGUCAGCUCGUGUCGUGAGAUGUUGGGUUAGUCCCGCAACGAGCGCAACCCUCACUUUUAGUUGCCAUCAUUUAGUUGGGCACUCUGAAAGAACUGCCAGUGAUAAGCUGGAGGAAGGUGGGGAUGACGUCAAGUCCUCAUGGCCCUUACGUGUUGGGCUACACACGUGCUACAAUGGUAUCUACAACAGGAAGCAAGACGGCGACGUUAAGCAAAUCCUCAAAAGAUACCUCAGUUCGGAUUGCACUCUGCAACUCGAGUGCAUGAAGCUGGAAUUACUAGUAAUCGUGGAUCAGCGUGCCACGGUGAAUGCGUUCCCGGGUCUUGUACACACCGCCCGUCACACCAUGGGAGUUGGUUCUACCUUAAGGCAAGGUUUAAAACCCUUGACCACGGUAUAGUCAGCGACUGGGGUGAAGUCGUAACAAGGUA
Molecule: ribosomal RNA, 478 nt
Filed under: uncultured marine bacterium
Lineage: Bacteria
Description: bacterial SSU rRNA
Rfam family: Bacterial small subunit ribosomal RNA
Source: RNAcentral